This 24-nucleotide non-coding RNA is filed under the name Drosophila melanogaster (fruit fly). The record is from RNAcentral. Lineage: Eukaryota; Metazoa; Arthropoda; Insecta; Diptera; Drosophilidae. RNAcentral also lists the same sequence under 7 other names.
CCUUCCAAGCAGUUGACCCGGGUU